CUUAUAUCUUAUAUCUUAUAUCCUCCUCUCAUAAAUGUUUACAUGCACCUGAGUGUGUAUUUGUCCUCUUUGGUGCAUUCUACCUUGACCUCUGAGACGCCUCAAAGGUCAGUAUGCACAUCAGGUGAAUGCUACUGAGUUUAUGCUCAUUCUCUGAGACGCCUCAAUGGUCAGUAUGCACAUCCGGCGAGUGCUACUGACUUUAUGCUCAUUCUCCGAAGCGCUCCACUAAAACCCUUAGCUCUGAGUCUGCUGUGACUCAUUGAGAUCACGGCCAGUAUACUCACUUAUCAUGUUGUAAUGAGACGAUUAAUAGCCAUGAUUCAGAUAAACUGCAUAUUCAUCUGGCCAUAUAAGGCCCUGUGCAGAGUGCCUAAGCCCUGACUACACACCUCAUGUCUGCACUGCCAUUGAUGAGUUGGAUGAGAUGGACAGCAGAUCAUA
Molecule: long non-coding RNA, 444 nt
Organism: Clupea harengus (Atlantic herring)
Lineage: Eukaryota; Metazoa; Chordata; Actinopteri; Clupeiformes; Clupeidae
Source: Ensembl